CUGUUAAUGAUACUCAAUCUUAUACACCUGGAGUUUAUCCUUCCCAAGACUUCCAUCCUUCUCCAUCUUCCCAGGAUUAUCAUCAUCCACCACCUUCCCAGGAUUACCACCAUCCUCCACCUUCCCAGGAUUACCAUCCUCCUCCACCUUCCCACGAUUAUCAUCCUCCUCCACCUUCCCACGAUUAUCCUCCUCCACCACCUUCCCACGAUUACCAUCCUCCACCUCCUUCCCAAGAUUACCAUCAUCCUCCACCUGCCAGAUCAGAAAGUUCCUAUUCUGAGCUCUACAACCACCAGCAAUACACACCAGAUCAGUCACAGAAUUUAGGUCCAAAUUACCCUUCUCAUG
This 351-nucleotide long non-coding RNA is filed under the name Cicer arietinum (chickpea). Its description in RNAcentral is "long non-coding RNA (CARI_LNC000605)". The record is from RNAcentral. Lineage: Eukaryota; Viridiplantae; Streptophyta; Magnoliopsida; Fabales; Fabaceae.